RNAcentral lists this non-coding RNA (45 nucleotides) under Aeromicrobium massiliense JC14. RNAcentral describes it as "L31-Actinobacteria ribosomal protein leader". It matches the Rfam family "L31-Actinobacteria ribosomal protein leader". The record is from RNAcentral. Lineage: Bacteria; Bacillati; Actinomycetota; Actinomycetes; Propionibacteriales; Nocardioidaceae.
UCGGUUCUGGUUCACGAGACGCACUCCGCGCCCGACCCAGCGGCC